Long non-coding RNA from Chinchilla lanigera (long-tailed chinchilla), 1499 nucleotides. The record is from Ensembl. NCBI's taxonomy places the organism in Eukaryota, Metazoa, Chordata, Mammalia, Rodentia, Chinchillidae.
GGCCAAAACAUCUUUAUGCUAUGCAUGACCUUGCCUCCACCAGCAGAUAGAUCCAAAUCAAAAUCAGAGCCCGAUAGACUACUAUCAAAUAUGAUAUGCUUAAUAUUUGACUUUCUGGAUGUACUGAGAAGUGAGUGAAAGUGGAAAUUAGCCAGGUCGUGUCUGAGAGUAGCCCAGGAUGCUGACAUUAACAUAAAAGAGCUUAGCCGGCAUUUACUGACACCCACCACUGGGAGAAAUUAACCUCAGGACUUAAAGGUCAAGUGUGCUAGUGAUAAAGCAGCAAAUGGAGUAUAGCUUUCGACACUGGGUUUAUCUGGAGAAUGAUAAUCCUGCAAACUUGAGACUGAAACUUACAACAUGGGAGCCGACACCAUCUGUAGAUUAAAAGCAUCAUGUCUUUUGCAAGACAGUAUCAUCCACAGCUAUGCUUUUAGAGUUCGCUUUAUAGCUUCUGCUACUGCUGGGAGAUGCUUUUGGAUACACACAGGAUAUAUAACAUCCAUGUUCCCUUCUACACCCAGGCAUUUAGAUCCUGCACUACAGAUCCCACGAAGGAACAGUGUCUGGGGUGCAGAUGGUGCUGCUCAUACACAGACAGAAUUGGGCCAACAAAACACUUAUACCAAACUGCGUAUUGAGCAAAGGACUUCCAGGGAUAGAUACAAAAUUCACUAACACACAGACUGAAGAUUUCGCAUCACUUUGGGUGUCAUUAAUCUGAAAUGAAUGGCCAAUGUCACCGUGGAGAACGCAGAGAGUGCGUUGGGGGACGUGCGUGGUUGCAGGAUGUUGCAGAUUGGUUUGAAAAACUAAGUUCUUGCUACAAGGAUACUGACUGCCCUUGUGUUUGAAGCAAUGAAUUGCUAAGCUGGACUGUGGGACCAGGAAGUGGAACAAAACCUGGCAAGUGAAGGCUCAUCCGCUUGAGCUUUAGUUAACUGAAGUCUUAGAUUACCUGUCCCUAUGGUGCAGAUGUAAACAUUUCCCCUCUGCUUUCUUCUCUCCUAACUAUAAACAAUGGCCAACUUCUCUCUAUGUCUUUGGCUUGGACUGGGCAGUGGGAGUUAAUGGUACAAUUAUUUAGAAGUAAACAGGUUCUGUUUUGAAAUACUUAUGGUCUAUUCUCCAGCUGAAACUCUCCCGACCCCAAGAGUCGGGAACUCUUGGGGCUCCUCCAGUGCCAGUGUAAACAGCAUGGUUAGGAAGAGGAAUCUCCCUUUAUGCAUUUUCAGGGCCUCUGUGUUGCCAGAUCAUGUUUCAGCUCCCCAAAGAGAAAUCUCAGUGAAACAGUGUACUGAAAGCUUCAGAUAUAGUUAUUUUUUUCUGUUAUGUUUUAAUUAGUGCUCCUAAGCUUGAACUGUACUGCUGACUUACUUCCACCCUUAUCAUAGCUCCCAAGACUUUGGUUUAAGAUACAAAACAAAGAGUUUUUCUGCACCCAUGUUGCCAACUAAACUCAGUAUCUACUGGAUGUAUACAUUUUUUGUCUGUCAGUU